UUUUCAAGCAAAGCUUGUGCCAGUUGUCCGCUUGUAUUUAUCUAACUGUUAUCCUGAACCCAGAUAGUCCUAUUUUUAGUAUCUUAGUAUCAUCUGCAAAGGCCGCUCGCCGUCAAGUUUUUUCAGCAAUCCGGCACACUGACCGCAAGCCCUCCGCGCGACGUUUCCUUGUAUUUCGUCUGCAUAUCGGCCCCGGUAUCCCGCAUCGUACGGAUAACCUGAUCCAAAGUAACGG
RNAcentral lists this unclassified non-coding RNA (235 nucleotides) under Hevea brasiliensis (rubber tree). The record is from RNAcentral. Lineage: Eukaryota; Viridiplantae; Streptophyta; Magnoliopsida; Malpighiales; Euphorbiaceae.